This 120-nucleotide microRNA precursor is filed under the name Mustela putorius furo (domestic ferret). Its description in RNAcentral is "miRNA (ENSMPUG00000023593.1)". The record is from RNAcentral. Lineage: Eukaryota; Metazoa; Chordata; Mammalia; Carnivora; Mustelidae.
UAAAUAAGAAUGGCUUUAGUCUGUCUUUUUUGAAAACCCAAGACUGCCUUCUGUCUGAGUCGGUUCCCAAGCCCCACAAGGACAGCAGGCUCAUUACUUUAUAGUUAUACCCUGUUUCUU